RNAcentral lists this unclassified non-coding RNA (295 nucleotides) under fungal sp. RNAcentral's name for it is "partial internal transcribed spacer region". The stretch from base 1 to 46 matches the Rfam family "Eukaryotic small subunit ribosomal RNA", at positions 1786 to 1831 of the family's 1831-position model. Lineage: Eukaryota; Fungi. The record is from RNAcentral.
AAGUCGUAACAAGGUUUCCGUAGGUGAACCUGCGGAAGGAUCAUUAAUGAAAGAUAAUUUUUUGGGGUUUUCCCUGAAAAAUAAUUCACCUUUUGUGCAUUGUUAUUAGAUAUACUUUGGUUAGAGCUUUGAUUUCAUUUUUUGAAAUCAACUUCUUGCUGACUCUAUCCUAUUAUAUGGGACAGUUGGCUAUUGAAGCGGCCUACCAAGGUUUUUUUAUCAAACUCUUGUAUUUUGUCUGACCUGUAAACAAAUAAUUAAAUCAUAACUUUCAACAACGGAUCUCUUGGCUCUC